This 348-nucleotide unclassified non-coding RNA is filed under the name fungal sp. RNAcentral describes it as "partial internal transcribed spacer region". The record is from RNAcentral. Lineage: Eukaryota; Fungi.
AAUUCGUAACAAGGUUUCCGUAGUGAACCUGCGGAAGGAUCAUUAACACGUAUCCAACCAAACACCAUACAGCGCUUCGUGCUGGUCGGGAAAACGGUUAUCUAGGGAGUUGGUUGUCAGGGGAGAACCUCGCGAAAUGGGUGGCACGCCGACCAUUCCUGGUUGCGAUGUAAACGUGGUCUCCACUUCAACUUGUUUAGUACCGCCUGUUGCCACGAUUUGGAUCUUGAUGCACCCGUUUUCUGAAAACCACCGCUGGAAACUAUGUCUUCCCGCAAAAGUACCCGCUCGGGGCCUGAGAACCUUCAGAGCUGGAAUAACCGAACAACAAUGGUUAUCUUGGCUCUC